UCAGCCAAAGGUUUCUCAAACGUUGGUCUCCAGCUGUUGUUGGACUACAACUCCCAUCAUCCCUAGCUAGCAGGACCAGUUUUGUUCUACUUGGUUUCUUCACAUAUACAAGCACAAGUUGCAUAUUGAGGGAGAGGCAAAACACUUCCACUGGGUAGCAGAUCUCCUGCCUCAGACUGGCUCUUCGUAGAGAGGCACUUGGCCCCCUAAGCUGCUCUCAGCCCUUGACUCCAAGCUCGCUUUUACUUCUGCCUCAAAUUGCUGCUUCUGUUUUUAUUAUUCUACUUAAAAUCUAAUUGUACAUUCAUAUAUACCUCUCUGUAAACUUGUACAGACAUGUACAUUCAUGUAAAAAGUAAGCUAGCAGGCUAAUAAAAGGGGAAAAGAGGGGAGAGAGUGAAUUUGUAAUGAAGAGGAGGAAGUUUAUGUUUGAAUAUUACACUGGUAAUAGCUGUUGCAAGACAUGGUAAAUGAAAGCCACCUUUUGAUGAACCUGUUUAUGUGGUGUUUAUAGUCUGUCUCCCAUAGUAAUGUUAGAUAAAAUUGUGAUGUUUCAUCAAGCUGCUCUUUCCAGGCUUCACACUUCCCCAAAUUAGUGCCCUCCUGUUGUUGCUGGACUACAGCUCCUGACCUCUGGCCAUGCUGGCAGGGGCUGAUGGGAGUUGGAAUCACCCAGUUGGAGAACGCUGCUGCGCACCCACAGAUAGCUUACAUCAACUCCUCUUCCAUUAGCUUGGGGUAGGGAAUUUGGAGAUUGAAGAGAAGGUUCCAAGUUCUGGUGAGUUUCCCAUUCUGGAGAAAUUCUGUAUACCAAGAAACUAUCUCCUUAGCAAAGUUUACUUUAAGGAACAUCCACUAACUAUCACACCCUCCACACUUAACCCAGGCUGCUAAGAAAUCUUAAUGUUGCUUUUUUGAAAAAGCUGAAGCUGUGGUCAGUUCUUUCCUUAAAACAACUUGUUGUGAAAGACUCGACCUCAUCUUUAUCACAUGCUUCUGAAAACAUGGAGAUACAGUGGCGGAGCUUCAUGCUUCGGCACUUGGGGGGGGGCAGAGAGCAGGAGGGGCGGGGCACGGUGCCCGCAGGGGAGUGGGGCGCGUCCUGGGGCGGAGCGUGCCGCCUUUGGGGGCAUGCUGCCCAGUGUGUGUGUGUGUGGGGCAGCUGCAAUGGCACCCUGCCGGAAUCGCGCUGCCGGGGGCGGUGCGCUCCCCGCGCACUCCUCUUCCUCCGCCAGUGUAGAGAUACAGUGCUGAGAUAGGGAAGGUUUGCCUGCUGAAUAUGUGCCGUGCAGGUAUUUUAAGUUGCAAAACUUGCAUUACUGAAAAGGUAGCCCCCCUGCCUGUUUUAUUUGUUGCACUGUACCUGGAGUGGUCAGGUUCUGUUUACAUUAGUUGCCCUCUCUGUCUUUUUGUUGAGCGCAUGUUCAUCCUGACGUUUGUGGUGUAGUGGUUAUAGUGUUGGAUUAGGACCUUGGAGACCAGAGUUCAUAAUGAAGCUCAUUGGGUGACCUUGAGCCAGUCACUGCCUCUUAGCCAGGCCUACCUCACAGGGUUGUUGUGAGGAUAAAAUGGGUGGCGGGACGGACCGACCAUAUUUGCUACAUUGAGCUCCUGGAGUAAAGGUGGGAGCUAAAUAAAACAAAUGAAUGAAUGUAGAUGCUCCCUUCCUCUCCAAUAUCAUACCUGACUAGUUGCUUGGAUAAUAGAUAUUUCCACUGCAGCUCCUUCCUGACCUUGCCACUAGUUUAAAACCCUGCUUAGAACUAGUUUUCUUUAGCACACGUAUAUCCUUCAGCAAGUGCAAUGUAAUCUACUGAAUAUGUAGCAUUCGUGUGGAUCCAUAAUUCAUAUUUGUUCUCAGAGUCAGUGGAUUCCUCUGGUGUAACCUGAUUUCCUAGUAUUUGUUUGUUUAAUAAACAGCAGAAUAAACAAGUUGGUGGGGAGCAGCAGUUGUUAGGGUUUGUUGUCUUCUUUGAGGGUUAGAUAAUAAGCACACGGAGUGAAGGCUGUCAUUUUUCCCUCUUGUUGCCAAAUAAUGGACUGCACUAAUGCAUUCACAGUCUGAGGAUCUCCAAGCAGUGUUUAAAAACACUUUAAGUUGUUAUUCAAAGAGGGACAAUAGCAUCCUAUAAACUGAUGAGGAAGCACGAUUCACAUCAUGGGCCUCCUGAGGCUUUUUUGUGCUGCGUGAGUGUUCAUUGCCUCCCUGGGCUCUUUCAGGAUGAAGGGUGGGAUAUACGGUAAAUGGAAUGAAUGAAUGAAUGAAUGAAUGAUGCAAUAUAUUUCUCUUCUCAUGCACCCCCUGGCUUAUACCUUUUCUGUGGUUUGCCAUGUGUUCAUUGUCUACUUUGGAACCAUUUUGAAAAAAAUUAGGGGUGGCUCCCUGACAUAAUCCCAGCCAAUCAGGGUUCAGAUUAGGCAGUGAAAUUCAGUCACAUUGGCUGCAUUACAUUUUAUUUACUUAUAUUUUUAUUAUUUUUUAUAUAUUUAUAACCUGCCUUUUUACCUGAUGGGACUCAAGGCAGCUUACAAAUGUAAAAAGAGUAACUAAAAAAGUAGAAAAUAAUAAUAAUUAAAAAGCAAUUAAACAUUAAUAGAAUUAAAGCUAUAUGCAUAUAACAAAUGUGUUUAAAACAUUCCAAUAAUUACAAUAAAAACAGCACCACUUUAUUGGUUAUGAGACAAAGCUGGAUCCAGGGUAAAGACAGAAUUGGCUGCACACUAUUGUAAGGAAGCUGUCAAGAUUUGGUUGCAUUGUGGUGUCAGAGAACCAAAUUGGUGUGCGAGCGAUCCUUACCCUAAUUUGAAUGGAUAGACCUUUUUGCCCAUCUGUGAACAGUUUCUUAAAUGGAGGGUGAAUUUUUUUGGGUGUGAUUUUUGAACAACUGUACAUAAUUCUGGAAACUUUGACAUUUGGCAUCCAGGGAUUUCAUAUGGAAGUCAUAACUGAGCAAUGCGAAUUGCAGAGGCGGUACUCUUUGUCACUGUGAAUUGUGCCGCUUCCUUUCUCAUAAGUAAAAGGUAGAAACCAAAAUGCUACUAAGAUGUCCAGUGCUGUGCUUCAAAGUACAGUGGUAGCCGUAGCUCUUUUCUCCAAUCCACUUACUAUAAUCAAGUUAGUAGGGCUGCUAACAGACCUCCUCUUUGGCCUUCAGCAUCACCCAAUUCUGCAGUGAUUGGCAGGCAGAAAGCUGUGGUUAAGAAUACAUCUUUCCACAAUAGUUAUUUGAUGCCUGUUUUCAACUUUUUACAUAGGAUUUUUACUGUCUGGUUUUAUGUAAACCACUUUUUCUUUGAAAUUGUAUUAUAGUAAUAUUUUAACAAAGAAUAACAGUGCUGAAGCACUGUUGCAUGUGUUGGGUCAAACAUUGGCAACGCUACUAGGCAAGAAAUUGCAGCAAGCUAGGCAGACUGAUCUUGGGCCCAGGGGUGGGGGUGGGAGAAGAGGAAACAAAUGUCACCCUUCCUUAUCCACUUACACUUCACAUUUAGGGCUUGCUAGGUUCUGAGAUGCAGUCUGUGCUUUAGAGGCGCAUCCAGAGUAUACAUCACUGCAGCGGCUAUUUCUUUGUAUAAAAGAAAUGCAUACAAAAGCCUUUGAAGCAAUAACAACAGUGAACUGGAAUGCACUCACACAGAAAGUGUUCCAUUACAGUAAAUUCUGUGUGUGUGUGUGUGUGUGUGUGUGUGUGUGUGUGUGUGUGUGUUGUGUGUGUUAUAAGAGAUUCUGGGUCAGGGUAAAGAGUAACAGAGCAUGCUGCACAUUUGCAGAAGCAGCUAUUACCACUUUGUGACAGGUGGAAUUGAUUUUGCAGUUAGGUAAGAAUGAUUCCAGUGUGGCUUUAUUGAGCUCAUUGGCACCUGUUACUAGCAAUGUUAAAAAGGUUAAAUGCUUUGCUUGUUAAAGCCGGACAUGGCCAACAAAUGGGAGUAGGCUAGAAGAACAAAAGGAACUGUCUGUAAUAAUCUUUCUGGAAUGAGUCGCAGGAGCAGAGGACCUGGCUGAUGUAUUAGAGAUGUUUGGUGAUGCUGUCUCGGUUCAGGGGCUGGACUGUGUGACCCCUGACACCUAGCCAACUAUGUUCAGUUAUGUUCUGUCGCUUGGCAUUUUCAGCGCAGUUCCAGUUAAAUAUUGGCUGUCAAAUAGUGUACUGUGGUAUUCACAGACGUUAAUUCCCAUAGUGGGUUAGUGCUGCUGCCCUGCAACCUGGACACUGGAAUGCGCACUUUGAAAUACCCUGAUACACUCAGACCAGAUAGUCAGGAGUCACCUUGUCUGUUUCCUGUCCUAUCCCUUGUCUGCUGUGGUGCAUUGUGCAGCGACUGAAGGAGGAUAAUAGAUGACAGGACUGUGGGCGGAAUGAGCUUUUCAUACCUUGUUUUUAACAUAGCACCAAAUUAAAUUGAAAUGCAUUUGACGUCUCUCUGCGUUGCAAACUGGAAAGGGCUACCUUGGAUUCUACCCAGCAUGCACUGCUCCUUUUUCACGUUUACCUUUUUCUGGGUGACGCUGCAUUAGAAAAAUCUCUCUAGAUUUGGCUAUACUUUUUUCUGAUUAUUGCUCUGUGGUGCUAUGUACAAUAAGAGACAGCAAAAUUGGAAGGGUUAUUGAUAAGCAUUCCAGCUUUGCUGUUCUGUGAUCUGCACGUAUGUGGCCAUUCCAAUCCUCCUAGUCCUUAAGGUUAAAAAUCAGAGUGACACCUGCAUUUCCCAUAUGAGAGUGACGACCAGAACCAUUGGCAACUUCACAUAUCUUUGGCUACCUCGGGCCCACUCUUCCAAGCUGAACAAAAGCCACCAAUACCAGCACUUUCCUAACACUUGUUUCUAGCAAUUGAACAUUUUAUGGAUGCCUUCAGUCUGAAGAUCAAUUGCCUUUGCACACAGCUUUGACAGACUCACAUUGCAACCUUGCCAAAGGUAAGGGGGUCUAUGUCUGCACCUGUCUGGGAGGUUACUGUGAAUCCUAUGUACGUUUUUGAGUUCAUGCGGAGUGGGAAAGGGAAAAGUCAGUAUAACAGAAGCCUGACAGCGGGAUAAUGUGCACAACGUCCCUCCCAAAAAUGGUUGAUGUGGCUUGCCAUGUGUAUCUUUGUGAACCAGAAACAAGUGGUCAACUUCUGUAGCUACUGCUGGCCACAGGCCUCAAGCUCACAGCUAUUGAAACCGGGAGUGUGUGAGCUCUCAAGUCCCUUCUCUCUGUGCUGUACCAUUUCCCAGAUCCAAGGGACUAUAAAAGUCUUGCCAAGUCUUCGGUUUUCAAUGGCUCCAUGUAACUCUGAUUCCCUGAAUCUGUCUUAGCAUUGAAGUCACUCACCACAGUGACGUCUCCCAUUCACUGCUUUACAAGCACUCGCCACAAAACUCUUCACUGUUCUGUGACCUUUUGAUAGUUCCGUCUUUGCUUUGAGGUGGACAGCUAAUCACUGUAGCCGUCAGUACACAUGAUGUGUCCAGGAGGUCUAAAAUGCUAUGUCCUACCUCUCUGCUACCACAGGUAUGCAACCAGACUAUUUUAUUUUAUUUUAUUUAUUUCUGUCCCACCCUUCCUCCCAAAGGAACUUGGGAUGCCAAGCAACAAACCAGCAAAAACUAAAUUU
This is a non-coding RNA of Podarcis lilfordi (Lilford's wall lizard), 5600 nucleotides long. Lineage: Eukaryota; Metazoa; Chordata; Lepidosauria; Squamata; Lacertidae. The record is from the annotation of a GenBank genome assembly.